Thunnus maccoyii (southern bluefin tuna) is the source of this 665-nucleotide long non-coding RNA. RefSeq lists it as uncharacterized. The record is from RefSeq and is a predicted model, not a curated record. NCBI's taxonomy places the organism in Eukaryota, Metazoa, Chordata, Actinopteri, Scombriformes, Scombridae. The transcript is spliced from 2 exons.
UUGAGGAAGACACACCACCAUCACCAUAGGAGGGGGCUGGUGUCCAGUCGCUGUCAGACUUGUUGUCGUCUCUGGAUCACAGCGUCGAAGCCAGAAAGAGGAAGAACGUGGAGGUUCUGUGGAUCGCUGCUGUGGUGAGACUUGACUCUGUGAAAUAAAAUCUGUAAAAAAAUGAAUUUAAAAUAAUGAAAGGUUGGACUUGAAAGUGUUUUUAUGAAACAAUAACAUCUUAAAGUGCUGCCCUUGUUAACAAAUCAUCUGUCAGUCCUUGAAUUUCUCCAAACAAGACCUUAAAGCAGGACGUGGCUCCCACAGCGUUUGCCCGCCAAAGCUCCAAGAAGACACCUUUACCCAGUGGCCUUUCUCCUGGUGACCUCUCACCUCCUGGUUCUUUGGCUCAUCUUCAGCCUGGUUAUACUGCUGGCCAAAUACCAGUAGACCAGCACAAACAGACUGGGAACACUGGGCACAAAGUGGGCUACUUCACUGGGGAUUGUGUAUUUAUACAUGGUUUUUGGACCCUGGUAUUUGUUUGUAUUACUGCUUGUGAGCAUCACACCGUUCGUUUGUUUUCUGUUAAUAAUGACCCCUCUGUACUGUUCACUGUGGCUGCAGAUGUUUGAUUUUCAAACGUGUUUCUGCAAUAAAUGAAUACUUGAGAGCUA